CUUAAAUUGAAGAGUUUGAUCAUGGCUCAGAUUGAACGCUGGCGGCAGGCCUAACACAUGCAAGUCGAGCGGUAGCACAGGAGAGCUUG
This 89-nucleotide ribosomal RNA is filed under the name Pectobacterium parvum. RNAcentral's name for it is "partial 16S ribosomal RNA". It matches the Rfam family "Bacterial small subunit ribosomal RNA", at positions 1 to 86 of the family's 1533-position model. Lineage: Bacteria; Pseudomonadati; Pseudomonadota; Gammaproteobacteria; Enterobacterales; Pectobacteriaceae. The record is from RNAcentral.